GAUGAAGAACGUAGCGAAAUGCGAUAAGUAGUGUGAAUUGCAGAAUUCAGUGAAUCAUCGAAUCUUUGAACGCACAUUGCGCCCCUUGGUAUUCCAUGGGGCAUGCCUGUUCGAGCGUCAUUUGUACCUUCAAGCUUUGCUUGGUGUUGGGUGUUUGUCCCUCGGGACUCGCCUUAAAGUCAUUGGCAGCCAGUGUUUUGGUUUUGAAGCGCAGCACAAGUCGCGAUUCAAGGCUAUCCGCCCGCUUCGACAAGCCUUUUUCACUUUUGACCUCGGAUCAGGUAGGGAUACCCGCUGAACUUAAGCAUAUCAAUAAGCGGAGGA
This 324-nucleotide unclassified non-coding RNA is filed under the name soil metagenome. RNAcentral's name for it is "partial contains 5.8S ribosomal RNA, internal transcribed spacer 2, and large subunit ribosomal RNA". The stretch from base 1 to 120 matches the Rfam family "5.8S ribosomal RNA", at positions 35 to 154 of the family's 154-position model. The record is from RNAcentral.